AAAAACAUGGCUCCUUGUAUUCCAAAAAUAGGGAGUCGGACCUGCCCAGUGAAAUUUUUUAACGGCCGCGGUACUCUGACCGUGCAAAGGUAGCAUAAUCAUUUGCCUUAUAAUUGAAGGCUUGUAUGAAUGGUUUGACAAGAAUGAAGCUGUCUCUUUAUAAUUAAUUUGAAUUUUAUUUAUAGGUGAAGAAGCCUAUAUCACAUUGAAAGACAAGAAGACCCUAUCGAGCUUUAAAAAAGUUAAUAAACUUAAAAAUUAGUAUUUAUAAUACAAAUUUUAUUAUUAAAUCAUUUUAGUUGGGGCGACUGAGGAACAAACAAAGCUUCCUAUAUCAAUAUUAAUACAUUCAAGUACUGAUCCAAAAAUUUUGAUUAAAGAAAUUAGUUACCGUAGGGAUAACAGCAUUAUCUUUUUUGAGAGUUCUAAUCGAAAAAAAGGUUUGUGACCUCGAUGUUGGACCAGAAUAUCCUAAAGAUGCAGCCGUCUUUAAGGGU
RNAcentral lists this ribosomal RNA (497 nucleotides) under Nucella lapillus. Its description in RNAcentral is "partial 16S ribosomal RNA". It matches the Rfam family "Bacterial large subunit ribosomal RNA", at positions 1809 to 2572 of the family's 2925-position model. Lineage: Eukaryota; Metazoa; Mollusca; Gastropoda; Neogastropoda; Muricidae. The record is from RNAcentral.